UACAGGGGAUGCGAGUGUUAUCCGGAAUUAUUGGGCGUAAAGCGUCUGUAGAUGGAAAUUUAAGUUUUUUGUUAAAUCUAUAGGCUUAACUUAUUGUAUGCAAAAAAUACUAUUUUUCUAGAGAAUAAAAGAAGUAAAGAGAAUUUUCAGUGGAAUGGUGAAAUAUAUAGAUAUUGAAAAGAAUACCAAAAGCGAAGGCACUUUACUAAUUUAUUGCUGACAUUGAGAGACGAAAGCUAAGGGAGCAAAUGGG
RNAcentral lists this ribosomal RNA (253 nucleotides) under uncultured bacterium. Its description in RNAcentral is "partial 16S ribosomal RNA". It matches the Rfam family "Bacterial small subunit ribosomal RNA", at positions 524 to 776 of the family's 1533-position model. The record is from RNAcentral.